UUUUUUUUCUUCUUUCUUUUUCAGUGAAUUAGCUCAUCUGGAUGAUCUGGGUAUCUAUCCACUGUGCACAUCAAAUCCAGUGCUAGUGUAUGGUUGCCCUUGAGGGUUGGUAAAUGUAUUUGUUUUCCACUAAGCCAAACAGGUUUUAUUAUUGGUAUUAUAGUCAGUGACUCAAGAAAUGAUUAUUCUAUCAAAUAUAUGGUUAAAAAUUCCUGUUUGUUACACUACCAGUAAGUGUCAGGAUUUUUGCUGGGAUUACAAGUUUGGGGUAGAAUGUAUAUGUAACAUGAAGGCCUGCAUUUCAAUCUAUAUACCAGAGAGAUUUCUGUGAAAUUCAGUUUUAAGAAGAAAACAGUUGAAAGGCAGUUGCUGCCUUGUUGAGGACCAAGGACAUAGACUAGGAUUUUGGAGGUACCCAGAAAAAGAAAAAUCGGCUUUGGCCUCAGAGAAUAUUCAUACUUAGUCUGGAUGGAAAAAUGAAAGAUAGACCUGCAAUUGCAUUUUUGCAACUCUACUCAAAUUUGUUUAAUCCUACAGCUACCCAAAACCAACUUUUAUAUUCUUAAGACAAAUACACUUCAGCCAAAACCAAAACAAAAAAACAAAACAAAACAAAAACUUUGAUUCAUUAAUGUUUGGUACCAGAUAAAAUUAUAUACGCUUAAGUUUAUAACUACAUUUGAGUCUACAUCGGGUUACUGAUUUUCUUUUCCUUUCUAGUUUCUUUAUACUAAUAUCAUACCCUAAUGAUGACUGCCUUAUCAAACUAACCACUUCUUUCACAAUUUUUCCAAAAUGCAUGAACAAAAUAGUACACUUCUUAGUAUCAGUUUUUAGGUCACAAUUAUUAAGAUGUGAAAAAAGAGGCAUUCCUGUUGUGGCUCAGGGGUAAAAAACCCAACUAGCUUCCCUGAGGACACAGUUUGAAUCCUGGCCCUGCUCAGUGGGUUACGGAUCUGGCGUUGCCAUGAGCUGUGGCAUAGGUCACAGACAUAGCUCAGAUUCAAUGUUGCUGUGGCUGUGGCGUAGGCCAGCAGCUGGAGCUCCAAUUGGACCCCUAGCCUGGGAACUUCCAUAUGCCACAGGUGCAGCCCUAAAAAGCAGGAAAAAAAAUGUGAAGAAAAUAAGGUGGGGAGAAAGUUUGAUCAAAGCAGUAAGCAGAAUAAUGGCCCUCAAAGAGAUACACACCUUAAUCCCUGGAACCUGUAAAAGAACAUAUUAUCUUGCAUGGCAAAGGAAUUAUGAAAAUGUGAUUAAGGCUAUGGGCCUGAGAUGGUGCAAUUAGCCUGGAUUAUCUGAUGGGCACUUCUCUCCAGAUGAUUCUUUAAAAUCUCUAACUUUUCCCAGCUGUAUUGAUCAGAAAGAUGGUACAUGAGAAGGCUCAAUCUGUCACUGCUAGCUUUGAACAUGGAAGAAAGGGACCAUAGCCAGGAAUUCAGCCCACCCCUAGAGAACAGAAAAGGCAAGGAAUGGAUUCUCUCACAGAGCCUUCGGAAAAGGAUGUAACCCUUGGCAACAUCUUGAUUUUAGCUGAGAGAGAUCUGCGUUAAACUCCUGCCCUACAGAACUGUAAGAUACUAAAUUUGUGCAGCAAAGCCACUAAGAUUGUUUUAAUUUGUUAUAGCAGCAAUAGAAAACUAAAGCAUCCAGUAUAUUUCCUGUCCAGGACUGUUCCCAUUUCAUCACAGAGCAGCAGGGGCUGAUGACACCCCAAUAUCAAUGAAAAAAUAGUUUAACAUUUUAAAGGAAGUUUGGAUACAGCAGGAAACACACGUAGUUUAUAACUAAAGCCAUGACUCAACCAACACAUAGCAAUGGGACCUUAAGAAAACUCUGAACUUUUCUGAAGUUUCAUAUUAUCUCGUACAUACUGAGACUAAGACUUGCUUAUUUUACACAAUAAUUGAAAAUAAUCACAUUUCAAAAGGGAUAUGAACAGGCUUUGUUUUUAUACUCUAUAAAGAACCACACUGUUCAUUACUUUUUUCUUCAAGAAAAUAAGUAUUUCCACUAUAACAUUUGUCGAACUUAAGCAGAAAUGAUUGUCUCCCAAAAUCCAUUCUUCCUUUCUGUCCUUAUACAAGGAUCUUUCAACUUUUAGUUUGGAAUCUGGCAAUGAAGCCCUACACCUCAGCUUUCUUUCUAGUCAGGGAUGGUCAUAUGACUGUGUUCUAACCAAGGGGGCAUCAGUAACAACUGAAGCAUGCAAAUUUUAAAUGAUCCCUUAAAAGGAGGAUGUUGCCCUCUGCUUCUUCCUCACCUGACCCCAUAGGCUAGAAUGGCUGUGGCUGCCUAAUGGCAGCACUCACCAUAAAACUGAGAGCAUCAUACUGGUCAGGGUGGUCAAUAGCACAGCCAUACCUAUUCUUUCAUACAUCAUCAUGGUAGCAGCAGAGUUGAGUAACUACAUCAAAAACCACAUGAUGUGCAAAGACUAACAUAUUUACCAUUAGCCCUUUACAGCUAAAGCUUUCUGGCUCCUGCUCUAGGAAUAGGAGAUGAACAAAAUAUCUGAAAUCUAGGUCUUUGGACAACAUCUUCGAGCAGAGAUGCUCAUCUCCUCUGACUGCCUAGCAGCUUGGAUUUUUAGGUGAAUCAGAAACAAAUUUUUCAUAUUGUUUAACACAUUAUUUUGUCAAUUACAGUGGGCAUAAUAAACCAGGAAUAGUAAAAAAAAAAACAAUGAUGAUCGUGAUAAUAACAGUUAAUAUCUAUAUGGGGCAUACUGCAUUCUAGGACUCUUCUGGUAUGUGUGUAUUAUAUACACAAGCAUUUCAUGCUUAUAAUCAUUCUAUUAAGUACUAUUUUUUUUUAAUUCCCAGUGGACAGAUGAGUAAACUGAGGCCUGGUUGUUAAACAAUGUUUCCAAGGUCAUACCAAAAAAACUGACAGAACCAGGAUUUAGACCCCAGUCAUUCAGUACCAGCAUCUCUAUUCUAUUAGAUUCCCUCUUAAUAGGUCAUAGCUGUUUCAUUUCAACUGAGAGCAAGUCUGAUUGUUAGUCCUCCCCAAAUGCAUUUCUUUAAAAAGGAGACCUGCUAGAAACAAUAGCUUAACCCCAAAAUAUUGACCAGUGGUGGAUUAGGGCUGAGAAUAUAAAUAGCAAUUUGUCAUCUUUUAAAUAAAAUGUCUUUUUUAAAAAGUGCAUACCCAAUCUUCAGACUUAGAAAAAGUUUAAAGAUUUUUAAUUAAUUCGAGAAAUCUUACUUGAAUUGGGGUAAUCUAUUUGGAAACAGACAUAAAUGCAUGGUAAAAGUUCAAAGCGAUAAAGUGAAACCUAGGAAAAAGGAGGUAGGAGAGGGAACAUUAAGGCACAGGAACCUGAAAUCAUUGUGUUGUUACCAGGUAGAAAGAGAACAGCAUACUUGAUUUCUUAAUUACCUUUAAGACUUGUUAAAAUUGGAAACUGAGAUUCAGGAGAAUUGAACUAGUUGCUCAGGGCCACAGAAAUUUUCAAUGAAAUACACAUCCUGGUUUACCCAAGCCAAGCCAAGCCUCUUUGUGCUAAAAGAUCUAUGAGAGAACAAACAAAAUAGAAGCAAAAUAGCCUAGUCAUUCCAGGCAAAAAGUAGUUUAAGAAUAAGACGGAUACUUAUUUAGAGCUACUGUGCAGGAUUAGGCAGCACUUCAGAGGGUAAUGCACAAGACUGACCCAAGGUUGAUCAAACUCUACAGGAAAAAAGGAAAGACAAUUGCCAAAUGCUGAUGGCAUUGAAGAAAGCAAAGUCAUGCAAAAGUCAGAGCUCCAUAAUUGGUACCAGUUCAUGAAAAAGAAAAGUUAAAUCUGUGAGGAAAGUAUUGAGCAUUAAAGAAACUCACUCUUCCAGCUGGCAUAUCUAUUGUCACUGCCAAGGAGGAGAUUAGUGGUUGAUAAGUUCUUUAUUAUUGAUUUCCCUGAGCCUUGAAGUUCCCCUAAAGAUGGAGAAUAUGAUAGGAUGAGCCUCACCACAGUUCUGAGGUUAAAUGCAAGACAUUGUGAUUGCCUCAGUCAACUGGAAACAAAUGGCCUGUAGAAUUAACUGACUUUUAUUAUCCCUUAGUUCCAUACCAUCUAGAAUUAAUCAGUAAGGACAAAUAAAGCAUUAUUAUCCUUCAGAAGUGAAUUUGAAUCAUGGACUCAGAAAGGCCUCUGGGGGAUCAUCUGUUCAUUUUAGAGAUGAGAAACCAAAAUUUCCAGGAAGACUUGGGGGUAAUAUUGUGCUUUCUUGGUCUUAAAGCAUGAAAUGAAUCUCUGUUGCCAAGUACAUUUCAAAACUCAUGACAUAGUUGUAGGCAGUCUGGAAUUGAUUGAGCCAUGAAUCAGCAUUCUGGGGUGUUCAGGAGGAAAGAUUUGUGUACAUAAUGCACAUGUAUAAGUGAUUUUCCCAUAAGAGAAUGGUCUGGUAUCUGCUUAGUGUCGUUAAAGGAUAGGAAUUGGUGUAGUGUUGUCGGGCAAGAAAUGGCAAGAUAUAGCUAAAAAAAUGAGCUAGGCUCUGGUUACCAGGUACUUUGGACCACAACUGGGAGGUUGGGUUGCUUUUGUAAGUGCAGUUCAAGUCACUGGAGGAGUUUUGGGAGGAGUAUGACACAGCUAAUUUGAACCAUUCACCCACUCUCAUUCAUAAGCAAGCAUAGUUUUAGGCUCUCAGGAAAGAGUAAGAUACAUUCCCUGCCUAGGAGAACCUCAAAGUCUUUUGGAGGAGACAAAACUAUAAAAUCUAACAAAAUAACAAUGAAGCCUGGCUGCAAUUUUUUGAAAUAGUUUCAGAAGGAUAGGUGUUAGCUCUCUUCUAAAUGUUUGAUAGAAUUUGUCUAUGAAGCCAUCUGGUCCUGGACUUUUCUUUGUUGGAAGUUUUUUAAUCACAGUUUCAAUUUCAGUUGUUGUGAUUGGUCCAUUCGUCUUUUCUAUUUCAUCUUGGUUUAGUCUUGGAAGAUUGUACUUUUCUAAGAAUUUGGCCAUUUCUUCUAGGUUUUCCGAUUAUGUGUGUUCUUCAACCAACCCCCCCCCCUCAAAAAAAAAAGUCUAGUUUUCAAAAUGACUUUACAUAGGACUUUCAUUUGAUCCACAUAGGAAAACUGUACUACCUUUACCAUUUAUGAAACUGUACUCAGGGGAGCUGAAUGACUGAGUGAGAUAAGAACUUAAGGAUGGCAGAGACCAACGUCAAAUCUAGACUCUGACAGUAGCAGCUGCUUAUGGUGGUGUAUUGAGAAUAUUACAUAACAUUGUACAAAUUCAGUAGGAAAGAAUUUAGUAAUUUAUUGGGAUAUCUGGAACAAAAUGAUGUCCUGCUUUUAGAAGAGAAAAUAUGGAUGGAAAAUGCAAGAUAGAAAGUGGCCUUCCAGCUAGACCACCUCCACAGAGCAUUCAGAGCUCCAUAAACUACCUGGAAACUUCAUUCACCACCUUUUGGAAGGUAAACACUGGAAAUAAAGUUUCUACCUUCUAAUGAAAUUACAUCAUGACAGUACUUUUAACCCAGCUUCUG
Molecule: long non-coding RNA, 5468 nt
Filed under: Sus scrofa (pig)
Lineage: Eukaryota; Metazoa; Chordata; Mammalia; Artiodactyla; Suidae
Also listed under: 1 other name
Description: lncRNA (ENSSSCG00000063235.1, ENSSSCG00085013495.1, ENSSSCG00110022150.1)
Source: RNAcentral